Molecule: long non-coding RNA, 438 nt
Organism: Mustela lutreola (European mink)
Lineage: Eukaryota; Metazoa; Chordata; Mammalia; Carnivora; Mustelidae
Exons: 2
Source: RefSeq, a predicted model, not a curated record
UUAACAAGGGACCCCCACAUCUGACUUACACUGUCCCACUGCCCACCUGGCUGCUUUGCGGAGAAGGGACUGUGGAUGGGCCGGGAGCAAGAGCGUCAGUCAGGAGGCCAUUGCCACAGCAGAGGCGGGCGAUGAGUAUCACUCACUCCAGAGGAAGCCAGCCACCAUGUUAUAAGGAAACUCAGGAGCUCUAUAACAUCCACAUGACAAGGAACGUGGGCUUCCUGCCAACCGUCAGCACGAACUCCACAGCCUUGUGAAUGAGCCCCUCUGGAAGCAGAUCUUCCAGCUCAGGCAAGCCUUCUAAAUGUCUACACCCCCACUGGCAUCUUGACGGCAGCCUCAUGAGAGACUCGGAAGCCCUGCUAAGUCACUUCCGGAUCCCUGGCCCCAAAAAAGCAUAUAUUGUAUGAGAUAAUUAAAUGCUUAUUAUUUUAA